CGGUACCUUACUCCUAUCCCUACCUCCCCAUGGUGCCGCCUGGGCUACGAGUAACCGUAGGGAAGAUCGGAUAACCAACCCUGAUGGGACCUUUGUCGUAUGCUAACAGGGAAGG
This 115-nucleotide ribozyme is filed under the name Aedes aegypti (yellow fever mosquito). RNAcentral's name for it is "drz-agam-1 ribozyme". It matches the Rfam family "drz-agam-1 ribozyme", at positions 10 to 82 of the family's 82-position model. The record is from Rfam by way of RNAcentral. Lineage: Eukaryota; Metazoa; Arthropoda; Insecta; Diptera; Culicidae.